Long non-coding RNA from Equus asinus (donkey), 2634 nucleotides. NCBI's taxonomy places the organism in Eukaryota, Metazoa, Chordata, Mammalia, Perissodactyla, Equidae. The record is from Ensembl.
CAGCAGGCUGUUGAAUUAUUAGCAUCAUAACAGUUUGCAAACAAUUAAACUUUAUUUGAACCUUAAAAAUUUGCAGAGUGGAACAUUAUUGUAAGAUCUAAUGGCAAUAGAGUACAAAUUCAGUACAGAGCAAAUAAUCAAGCAAAAUGCUAUAUAAAAUAUGACUUACAAUCACCUUUGAAAAAAAUUAGCUCUCUAACUGUUCAUAGAAAAACAAAUAAAGGCUAAGCAAACAUAAUGAGAACAUAGCAAUUAGCAUAUUUUCUAACAAGCCAUUUUGUUUAAAUUCACAUUAAUGAUAUUAUUAUGAUCUUGAGGAGUGUGUGAUAUAUUGUCAAGGGUGUAAAGAAAACUUUCUCCCUGGUAGUAUACAAAUGAUUUCACUAAAUGAAUAUAAAGGACUCAUGAAUUGAAAAUAACGAUUAUUUCUCUUGCCACUCCAAUUUUAAAGCUUUUGUUUCCUUUCUUAUCUCCCACCUAUGUUCAAGUUAAAAAAGAACAAAGGCCAGAGGAGCUCCGGACAAAAGUCACACUUUAUUUCUGUAUUGUCACCAUUCAGAGAGAGACUAUCGGGCUUUGAAUCGUUGGUCAUCAGUUGGCAAAGGACUCCCUCUCCUGGAUUAACUGUACAAAGAGGCAAAAACCUUCUAAAUGCACCACAUUCUGUGUGACUUUGUGCCUGAGUGGGGGAGGGGUUCCAAGCGGUCUAGUCUGCAAUGAAAAGCUGCUGCCAUCUACUGGCCCAGGACCAACAUCUUCCCUUAAACCAGAACCUCGAAACCUGUUUCCACCAAGUCUGCGUUUUCAGUGGAAACUCACAACUGCUUUUUACUUUUCAGUCUCUCAGGCUUUGAAAACCAGGCCACUGAAUUCAUCUCCAGUUGUCUUACUUUUGCCAAGAUGAUUUCAAUCUAUUCCAAUGGCUUUACAUUAGGAAAAGAUUAACGAGUGCAGAAAUUAAUUUCUGAAAGCUUUAACUUGACAAUGUCUAAUUUAUAUAAACUAGAGUUUACCUACAAUCUCUAAAAUUAAUAUUUCUUUUUACAUUUGAAAUAGGAUGAUCACAGUAUUGAGGAGACAACGGUAAAACAUAAACUCUGAGAUAUUGCUUGUAAAUAGUUUUAUAUAAAUAAUGGAGGUUUUAAAAUAUUAUCAGAUCAUUUGCAUGGUUAGAAUCUUUAUAAAGCAAAGAUCUGAACAGUUCAAAAAAGGUAGUACCUACUAAUCAAAGAUUCACUAUUAGAUUAUAUCUACUCCAAAUAUUAUCCAAACAGCAGUACAUUCUGAUAUAUAUUAAGGCCAUACUGGUACCUUGUAGGCAUUUAAAAUACCUUGGAUUUCAAGUAUACGUGAAAAGGUAAUGACAUAAUCCCAGAAAUCUUGCUCAGGCGCACAACGUAUACUUCCAGCGUCAGGCUAAUGAUACCCUCCCACUCACCUGUUGGUACCUGUGCCCACCUCGAUUUCCACACUCCCCUCUCUGAGCCUUCCUCUUCUUUUCAUGGCUCUGAGAUGUGCGGAGGAGACUCCAGUCUGGAGGUCUGCUGUUUUGUAGUGGGGCUUUAACAGCACGGUAAUGAUCCGGCAGGAUAAAAGAGUGCUCUGCUAUGCCUUCUUACUUUGGGAAUACAUUGAGGUUCUUUAUGUCUUUAUAUUAGUGGCAGAAUGGGGUUUCUUAUGAAUUUUCUAUUUUAUUAAAUUCAAACAAAACUAUGGUAGAAAAUUAGCAAGUCACUCAUCUAACUAGGAUAUUUGUUAUUGAUAAAGGGCUUUGCACAAACCAUGAUUCUGGUCUGCACAUGAGUGGCAGAAGGUGACAGCACACUACCAUCUGCAAUUCUAUCAUCUUCUCUAUUUUGUGGCUAUAUGUAACCUAAAGUAAAUUUGCCAAUCAGUAAUAAUUCUUUCAUGAAAACAUGUUACUGUUGUGUGAAAAAUAAAUACUAAGAUAAACCACCUGCAAAGUUUUAACAAAGCCACAUUCUUUAGAUAGCGUCUACCAAAAGCUUGCAUAUAUUCACUUAAAAUUUCUAUGAAAUUAUACAUUACAUUCCAAAAAAAUAACCAAUGUCCAAUAUUAAGAGAAAUUACAACUCAUACAGGAAGUAGCAGUGGCUAUGUGGUACAUAUAAAAUAGUGCUGAAUUCUUCACACAAAUCAAAUAAGUAAAUAAAAACUACAAUUAUUUCCUUGCAAAAUACCAACAGGUAUAACUUUACUGCUUGCAUCUAAUUUACAUUAGUAUCCUUCAUUUAAUUUCACAACAGAGGGCUAUUAUUAUGAAUGUAUAAAAUAGCAAAGACAGACAAUGUUCAACAAGAAAAGGAAAGGUUAUGAGCUGUCACUCAUGUUUUCACGAUGAUUCUAAAUCCAAAGCAUUUGCAGACUCACAGAAGAAUCUUCUUUUUCUGCAGCCAGACAGGGAAAGUUGCAUUUUAAUUUUUUUCUUCAGUUGAAAUGUUGGUUUUUCCCUGCUCAGAAAAAAAUCACAUUUUUAGCCAAGGAAAAGUGAAUGUUUACUCAACAUUUUGCCAAUUCAGCUCCUCAGACAGGCCAUAAAAGUGGUAUUUUACUAAAGAAGGGGAGGUCUGGGAAAACAGCUGGUUAUUAUCAAGAGGAUUUUCUUGAAAUAAU